AGAGUUGUCUAUUCAGGAAGACACUGUUCAGCAAUGGGUGUCUGAUGUUCAACAGUGGACUGCAGAAGGACCAUGCAGUCAAAAUGAACUUGAAAAAACCAUUGAAGGACUGUAUCUCAGCAUUAAGCAGCGGAAAUAUCAGCUGUAUCGUCAGGCUGAUGGCAACAAGAGAAGACAUCUGCUUAGAAAAAAGAUUUCAGUGGAAAAGAGAUCCUUAGAAGAUGCCAUCACAAAAUACAAUGCUGUUGUGCCAGAAACUGGCAAACUCCCUUCUCCCAACAAGCUCCUGGCUGAGGAAAACUAUUCCUGGCCUUGGGAAUGUCAUGGUGAUAUGUUAAAGAAAAAAAAGGUCUUCGACAAGGUAAUGCUGCUGAACCGACUGAAGGAAGAGGAGGUCAUUGUUGUCCGUGAAGUCAAGCAGCACUGGGA
Synchiropus splendidus (mandarinfish) is the source of this 429-nucleotide long non-coding RNA. RefSeq lists it as uncharacterized. The transcript is spliced from 4 exons. The record is from RefSeq and is a predicted model, not a curated record. NCBI's taxonomy places the organism in Eukaryota, Metazoa, Chordata, Actinopteri, Syngnathiformes, Callionymidae.